This 467-nucleotide ribosomal RNA is filed under the name Trichoderma sp. FLS-2010. RNAcentral describes it as "eukaryotic LSU rRNA". The stretch from base 148 to 301 matches the Rfam family "5.8S ribosomal RNA". The record is from RNAcentral. Lineage: Eukaryota; Fungi; Ascomycota; Sordariomycetes; Hypocreales; Hypocreaceae.
CCAAACUGUUGCCUCGGCGGGGUCACGCCCCGGGUGCGUCGCAGCCCCGGAACCAGGCGCCCGCCGGAGGAACCAACCAAACUCUUUCUGUAGUCCCCUCGCGGACGUAUUUCUUACAGCUCUGAGCAAAAAUUCAAAAUGAAUCAAAACUUUCAACAACGGAUCUCUUGGUUCUGGCAUCGAUGAAGAACGCAGCGAAAUGCGAUAAGUAAUGUGAAUUGCAGAAUUCAGUGAAUCAUCGAAUCUUUGAACGCACAUUGCGCCCGCCAGUAUUCUGGCGGGCAUGCCUGUCCGAGCGUCAUUUCAACCCUCGAACCCCUCCGGGGGAUCGGCGUUGGGGAUCGGGACCCCUCACACGGGUGCCGGCCCCGAAAUACAGUGGCGGUCUCGCCGCAGCCUCUCCUGCGCAGUAGUUUGCACAACUCGCACCGGGAGCGCGGCGCGUCCCACGUCCGUAAAACACCCAA